CCUACGGGAGGCAGCAGUUGGGGAUCUUGCGCAAUGGGCGAAAGCCUGACGCAGCGACGCCGCGUGGAGGAUGACGGCCUUCGGGUUGUAAACUCCUUUCGAUGGGGAAGAAGGCCUCCUGUGCGUAAAGCGGAGGAGGAGUGACGGUACCCAUAGAAGAAGCUCCGGCUAACUACGUGCCAGCAGCCGCGGUAAUACGUAGGGAGCGAGCGUUGUCCGGAAUUACUGGGCGUAAAGCGUCCGUAGGCGGCGAGGUAAGUCGCACGUGAAAGCCCCGGGCUCAACUCGGGUGAGUGCGUGCGAUACUGCCCCGCUUGAGUGCCGGAGGGGAGAGUGGAACGGUGCAAGUAGCGGUGAAAUGCGUAGAUAU
RNAcentral lists this ribosomal RNA (370 nucleotides) under uncultured bacterium. RNAcentral describes it as "partial 16S ribosomal RNA". It matches the Rfam family "Bacterial small subunit ribosomal RNA", at positions 338 to 697 of the family's 1533-position model. The record is from RNAcentral.